CUUGCGUUCAGAUUCUUUCAUGAUGCCCUCUAAUUUUUCCCUAGCAAAAUUUGCCUCCAUCGCCAACUUAUCCCGUUCAGACCUUAUUGCA
Molecule: small RNA, 91 nt
Filed under: Arabidopsis thaliana (thale cress)
Lineage: Eukaryota; Viridiplantae; Streptophyta; Magnoliopsida; Brassicales; Brassicaceae
Description: ATSL075960
Source: RNAcentral